GGAGGUAUACUUUAAAAAAGAAGACUUGGUUUGCAACCAAACAGUAGAGCUUUUCUUACCCCCA
Molecule: transfer RNA, 64 nt
Filed under: Leucophytia bidentata (two-toothed white snail)
Lineage: Eukaryota; Metazoa; Mollusca; Gastropoda; Ellobiida; Ellobiidae
Description: Auriculinella bidentata (two-toothed white snail) tRNA-Ala
Source: RNAcentral